This is a long non-coding RNA of Oncorhynchus mykiss (rainbow trout), 3728 nucleotides long. Lineage: Eukaryota; Metazoa; Chordata; Actinopteri; Salmoniformes; Salmonidae. The record is from Ensembl.
UGAUGAUAAUGAUAAUAACAAUGAUAAUAAUAAUAUUAAUGAUAAUAAUAAUAAUGAUAAUAAUACAGUAAUCUACAGUGAAAGCAGAGCAGAGGGCUGAAGACAUUGGAAGCAGGCUGAUAAGACAUCUACUGGUAAACACAUAGGGGACACUGUUAAUACAACUGAAGGUAUUAUAGGACUGCUGUUUGAAUAUCAAUGAACAUCAUAUGAUUUUGGAAUAUGGACUAAUAUCUAAUUAAUCUUGGUCAAUGACAUCAUCCUUCAACACUGGUUAAUGAAAGAUCUAACGGAGUUCAUGUAUGAUUGAUGUUGUGUGGUUUACCUCAACAGAGACCUAAAAGGACAUGGACAUGAAGCCUCUGAUGAUUCUCCUCCUGCUAGCAGGUAAUACACUGUGUUUGAGUUUAGCCCCUGUAGCAGCUGGUACCACCACCUCUCUUGCAACAGCUGUCACUACCACCACCCCUGCAGCAGCUGUCACCACCACCACCCCUGCAGCACCUGUCACCACCACCGCCCCUGCAGCACCUGUCACUACCACCACCCCUGCAGCAGCUGUCACCACCACCACCCCUGCAGCAGCUGUCACCACCACCGCACCUGCAGCAGCUGGCACCACCACCACUACUCCUGCAGCAGCUGUCACCACCACUGCUCCUGCAGCAGCUUUCACCACCACCGCUCCUGCAGCAGCUGGUACCACCACCACUCCUGCAGCAGCUGUCACCACCACCACUCCUCCAGCAGCUGGUACCACCACCACUCCUGCAGCAGCUGUCACCACCACCACUCCUCCAGCAGCUGUCACCACCACCACUCCAGUAGCAGCUGUCACCACCACCACUCCUGCAGCUGCUGUUACUAUCACCACUCCUCCAGCAGCUGUCACCACCACCACUCCAGUAGCAGCUGUCACCACCACCACUCCUGCAGCAGCUGUCACCACCACCACUCCUGCAGCAGCUGUCACCACCACCACUCCUGCAGCAGCUGUCACCACCACCACUCCUGCAGCAGCUGUCACCACCACCACUCCAGUAGCAGCUGUCACCACCACCACUCCUGCAGCAGCUGUCACCACCACCACUCCAGUAGCAGCUGUCACCACCACCACUCCUGCAGCAGCUGUCACCACCACCACUCCUGCAGCAGCUGUCACCACCACCACUCCUGCAUCAGCUGUCACCACCACCACUCCUGCAGCAGCUGUCACCACCACCACUCCUGCAGCAGCUGUCACCACCACCACUCCUGCAUCAGCUGUCACCACCACCACUCCUGCAGCAGCUGUCCCCACCACCACUCAGACAGCAGCUGUCACCACCACCAAUCCUGCAGCAGCUGGUACCACCACCACUCCUGCAGCAGCUGGUACCACCACCACUCCUGCAGCAGCUGUCACUACCACCACUCCUGCAGCAGCUGGUACCACCACCACCACUCUUGCAGCAGCUGGUACCACCACCACUCCUGCAGCAGCUGUCACCACCACCACUCCUCCAGCAGCUGUCACCACCACCACUCCUGCAGCAGCUGGUACCACCACCACUCCUGCAGCAGCUGGUACCACCACCACUCCUGCAGCAGCUGUCACUACCACCACUCCUGCAGCAGCUGGUACCACCACCACCACUCUUGCAGCAGCUGGUACCACCACCACUCCUGCAGCAGCUGGUACCACCACCACUCCUGCAGCAGCUGUCACUACCACCACUCCUCCAGCAGCUGGUACCACCACCACUCCUGCAGCAGCUGGUACCACCACCACCACUCUUGCAGCAGCUGGUACCACCACCACUCCUGCAGCAGCUGGUACCACCACCACCACUCUUGCAGCAGCUGUCACUACCACAACUCCUGCAGCAGCUGGUACCACCACCACUCCUGUAGCAGCUGGUACCACCACCACCACUCUUGCAGCAGCUGGUACCACCACCACUCCUGCAGCAGCUGGUACCACCACCACUCCUGCAGCAGCUGUCACUACCACCACUCCUGCAGCAGCUGGAACCACCACCACUCCUGUAGCAGCUGGUACCACCACCACCACUCUUGCAGCAGCUGGUACCACCACCACUCCUGCAGCAGCUGGUACCACCACCACUCCUGCAGCAGCUGUUACCACCACCACUCCUUCAGCAGCUGGUACAACCACCACUCCUGCAGCAGCUGGUACCACCACCACCACUCUUGCAGCAGCUGGUACCACCACCACUCCUGCAGCAGCUGGUACCACCACCACCACUCUUGCAGCAGCUGGUACCACCACCACCACUCCUUCAGCAGCUGGUACCACCACCACUCCUUCAGCAGCUGGUACCACCACCACUCCUGCAGCAGCUGGUACCACCACCACUCCUGUAGCAGCUGGUACCACCACCACCACUCUUGCAGCAGCUGGUACCACCACCACUCCUGCAGCAGCUGUUACCACCACCACUCCUUCAGUAGCUGGUACCACCACCACUCUUGCAGCAGCUGGUACCACCACCACUCCUGCAGCAGCUGGUACCACCACCACUCCUACAGCAGCUGUCACUACCACCACUCCUGCAGCAGCUGGAACCACCACCACUCCUGUAGCAGCUGGUACCACCACCACCACUCUUGCAGCAGCUGGUACCACCACCACUCCUGCAGCAGCUGGUACCACCACCACUCCUGCAGCAGCUGUUACCACCACCACUCCUUCAGCAGCUGGUACAACCACCACUCCUGCAGCAGCUGGUACCACCACCACCACUCUUGCAGCAGCUGGUACCACCACCACUCCUGCAGCAGCUGGUACCACCACCACCACUCUUGCAGCAGCUGGUACCACCACCACCACUCCUUCAGCAGCUGGUACCACCACCACUCCUUCAGCAGCUGGUACCACCACCACUCCUGCAGCAGCUGGUACCACCACCACUCCUGUAGCAGCUGGUACCACCACCACCACUCUUGCAGCAGCUGGUACCACCACCACUCCUGCAGCAGCUGUUACCACCACCACUCCUUCAGUAGCUGGUACCACCACCACUCCUGCAGCAGCUGGUACCACCACCACCACUCUUGCAGCAGCUGGUACCACCACCACUCCUGCAGCAGCUGGUACCACCACCACUUCUGCAGCAGCUGGUACCACCACCACCACUCUUGCAGCAGCUGGUACCACCACCACUUCUGCAGCAGCUGGUACCACCACCACCACUCUUGCAGCAGCUGGUACCACCACCACUCCUGCAGCAGCUGGUACCACCACCACUCCUUCAGCAGCUGGUACGACCACCACUCCUGCAGCAGCUGGUACCACCACCACCACUCUUGCAGCAGCUGGUACCACCACCACUCCUGCAGCAGCUGGUACCACCACCACUCCUGCAGCAGCUGGUACCACCACCACCACUCCUGCAGCAGCUGGUACCACCACCACUCCUGUAGCAGCUGGUACCACCACCACCACUCUUGCAGCAGCUGGUACCACCACCACUCCUGUAGCAGCUGGUACCACCACCACCACUCUUGCAGCUGCUGGUACCACCACCACUCCUGUAGCAGCUGGUACCACCACCACUCCAGUAGCAGCUGUCACCACCGCAGCUUCGGCAGCAACCACUUCCUCUGCUGUCGCAUCACCUGACCCUCCAUCUUCUAGUGAAGGAACAAUGAGUCUUCAGUUCAGUCUCAACCAGACGUUCACCAUUAAUGCCAUCUCUAAUGCCCUGUUUUCAUUGAACCGUUGA